Molecule: ribosomal RNA, 468 nt
Filed under: uncultured bacterium
Lineage: Bacteria
Description: partial 16S ribosomal RNA
Rfam family: Bacterial small subunit ribosomal RNA
Source: RNAcentral
GACGAACGCUGGCGGCGUGCUUAACACAUGCAAGUCGAACGGAAAGGCCCUGCUUUUGUGGGGUGCUCGAGUGGCGAACGGGUGAGUAACACGUGAGUAACCUGCCCUUGACUUUGGGAUAACUUCAGGAAACUGGGGCUAAUACCGGAUAUGAGCUCCUGCUGCAUGUUGGGGGUUGGAAAGUUUCGGCGUUUGGGGAUGGACUCGCGGCUUAUCAGCUUGUUGGUGGGGUAGUGGCUUACCAAGGCUUUGACGGGUAGCCGGCCUGAGAGGGUGAACGGCAACAUGGGGACUGAGAUAAGGCCCAGACGCCUACGGGAGGCAGCAGUGGGGAAUAUUGCACAAUGGGCGGAAGCCUGAUGCAGAAACGCAGCGUGCGGGAUGACGGCCUUCGGGUUGUAAACCGCUUUCGCCUGUGACGAAGCGUGAGUGACGGUAAUGGGUAAAGAAGCACCGGCUAACUACGUG